This 1044-nucleotide long non-coding RNA is filed under the name Macaca fascicularis (crab-eating macaque). RNAcentral's name for it is "lncRNA (ENSMFAG00000062606.1)". Lineage: Eukaryota; Metazoa; Chordata; Mammalia; Primates; Cercopithecidae. The record is from RNAcentral.
UUUUUUUGUUUCUUUUUUCCAUUUUCAUUUCAUUCCUCUUUUCACUCUCUUUUCUUGUUUAUUUGUUUUAAAGUUUUAUUUGCCCUUUCUUCUUCCUACUUUCUGCUACCUGGAAUGGAAUGUGAAUCUGAUGGCUGGAAUUCCAGAAGCCAUCUUGUACUAUGAGGUGACUGUAAGGAUGGAGAUUAAUUCGAGGACAGUGGAGCAGAAAGAUGGAGGCCUGAUGAACGUGAAGCCAUCAUUUUAGCCCUGGGCUACCUAUCUCUGAAAUUAUUUUACCUGACAGAAAAAUAAAAUUCUGUUUUGUCUCAGCUACUAUUGUUUUAGGACUUGGCUAUGUCACAGAUCUAAAACCCACUUAAUUUACUCCUGCAAUCAAAAUAUUAUAUUGACACAGAAAAGAUAACAAAUAAAUCAGUGGGAUAAAACAGAAAAUCCAGAAACAGAUUCAAGUAUUUAUGGGGACCGGAUACAUGAAAGAUCACAAUUCAAGUCAGUUGGAGAAGAAUGUUUUAUUUACUAAGUAUAACUGCUGACAUGCUGGCUGUUUGUCAGGAAUAAAAAAAAGCUAAAUCCUUCCUCACAUCACAAACAAGAUUAGUUCUAGGUGGAUUAGCAAACUAAAGGCAAAACGUAAGUAAAAUUAAUAAAACAAAAAUUAGAAGAAUAUUUUCAUAAGUUUAGGUCGAGGAUACCUUAUUAUACAAAGCAGGAAACCUAAAACCAUACAGGAAAAUAAUUGUACAAUGUUGUGUAGAAAAAAACACACACACACACAAAGCUAAAAGACAGGUUGGGAAAAAUACGUAUGUAACACAUUUGCUAUCCAUUAGUUACUGCUGAUGGUGGGAAACUGCAAACAUUUUCCAUAAAGAGCCAGAUAGUAAACAUUUGAGGCUUAAGGGUGUGAAACCUAAAAGAGGUUCAUGAUGGAUCCGGAAUGGCUAACUAGGCCUAAAUUCAAAAUACAGCCAAGCAGCCAUUGGCUGACUAGAGGUCACAAGUACUUCAGUUUUGUUUGCUUUCUGAGACACGAUCUUGCUC